This is a non-coding RNA of Peromyscus maniculatus bairdii (prairie deer mouse), 2417 nucleotides long. The record is from RefSeq and is a predicted model, not a curated record. NCBI's taxonomy places the organism in Eukaryota, Metazoa, Chordata, Mammalia, Rodentia, Cricetidae.
UGAGGGAGGGGUUUGGAUUGGGAGGUGUGGGGCGAGUUCCCAGCAGAACAUCUGGGCGGGGUUUGGAAUGGGGCCCGAGCUGGAGAUUCCCAACAUUUACCACAUUUACCCCUUCGUACCUGAUGAAGGCAUUGCAGUGAAUGAACCGGGCAGCCAAGUCACUGAACACAAAAGGAAACCGGAAGCCAGAGUUACUGCCCGGAUGUGGUUCGUCUCCAUCAAGACUCCUCGAGAUUCGAUUGCCACGGAGCAGGGUCGGGGAGCAGGACCAUUAAGAGAGGUUAAUGUUCUUCUCUUGAGACUGGAUUAGUCCUUACCGUUCUGGAUCGACUGUGAUGAAGUGAAUCGUUGCCUCUGUCUCUGUCCCUCUUCUGCACACGCUCACUGGCCAUUCUUACACACCAUGUGUCAUCUGUCAUUUUCUAACAGCAUGAGGACCUUGCCAGACCCAGCUUCCCAGGCCUGAACUCCUCCUCAGAGCCAAGAGCUACAUAAACCUUUCCUUCACAAACGCCCCUGUCUCCAGUAUUCUGUGACAGCCACCCAAAACAGUAGUGGGGGUGGGGAGAAGAGGAGAAGAGGAGGAGGAGGAGGAGGAGGAGGAGGAGGAGUUCAUAAAACAGAUGUGCUAAGAAAUAACUGAUGGUGGGCAGCCUGCUGUCUGUGGGAGACCAUGGAAGAUGCUUCUAAAGUCUCUGAAGGCUAAGAGGAAAACCCCACUCAAAGAUCUGAGGAAGUGUGUUCCACAAGGAAGAGCAAGUGCAAAACCUUGGAGGACGGAGCAAAGCUAGUGUGCAGGACACCAAGAAGACCAAGGUGGCUAUGGAUGGCGAUGAAGAGCCUGGGCAUUCCUGAGAGAAAGACAUUUGGUCAACUGGCAGUCUGUUCACUGAAGGUCCCAACAUGUGGUACGGGAAGAAAGCCCACAGAUACAGUGUGGUACACGCCAGCAAUCCCAGAACCGAGGAAUCAGAGGCCUGAUAACCAGGAGUUCAAGGUCAUUCCUGGCUAACAAAUGAGUCUGAGAGCAGCUCGGAGAGUGCCAUCUUGGGAGCAGAGAGUAGCCCUGAGCACAUGUCAACAUCCCGAUCUUGAACUUGCCGGCCUCUGUAGCUGCCAGGGACCAGUUCAUCCUUUUCACCAAAUGAGACAAUGCAGACGUGAUUAGAAGAUGCAGUCUAAGCCAAGAGCGGCCCUCAGCAGACCCUGAAUCUAUCAUCCCCUGGACCAUGGAAUUCUGAGUGUGAGGAAUCAAUCAGAAUCCCAAUGGGAUUUUGUUUUAGUGACCCAAAUGACCUAAGACACGAUUAUGAUUACACUAAGAUUGCUGAGAGGUCAAUUUGGGACCCAGCUUCCAGACUCGAUGUGGACAAAACUCAAAACACUCCCAUCCCAGCUCUGCCAUGUAAAUAAUGCCGACUUUGGGGGCCAGCUCAUGGAAGCCUCAGCUACCUAUCUAGCACAGAAAUAAUGGCUUUUCCUUGGGGCCAUCUCCCCAGAGAAGAUUCCUCUGUGCUCUGAGUAGGAGCAUAGAACCCUGCCCCGGGGUGUCUGGAGGCUGCAACAGGAAACAGGGGACUCCACUCAUUCAGCAUUCAGGAUUCAUCUUAUCUCCAAUUCAGCCAUGCAUCAUUGCCCUGCACCAGCUGUGCCUAGGACUGCUGUUCACUCUCCAGAGACUCCCCUCUUUGACUAGGUGGAGAAGAGGUUAUCCCAGGGACCCCGUGGGGAAAGAGAACCUUACUGUUUCCUUUCAGGGCUCUCAGCCAAUCCUCAGCCUUCAUUCCGCUCUCACACUCGGGGGUCUUGACUGACACUGAGACCUGUUGCUCUCCUCUGAUGCUGGUCUUCUUCCAUCUCCGGUUUGCCAAACUAAUCACCACCUUUCUGUCUGUGCUUUAGUCUCGAGGUAGGAAUGGAAACUCUAGUCUGUUCUCGUUGUCCCCGUGUAUCCACUACCUGUCUGUCGUCUUUACAUUUCUUUACUUAAGGAGGGCAGACAAGUCCCACGGCAUGCAUGUUGAGAUCAGAGAACAACUUACAGGAAGUCAGUUCUCUCCUUCCAUUAUGUGGGUUCCAGAUAUCAGAGUCAGGGCAUCAGGCUUGGCGGCAAGCACCUCUACCCCCUGAACUGUCUCCCCAGCUCUGUCACCUGAACGGAGCUGGAGAGGAACCAAACAACCAACCUAGAAAAUCUGAAUUCCAAAACUCACUCAGACCCAAAGAUCAGAAAGACAUCUGUAGCAUGCAACUUGAAACAAGGCCCUUCCUUCCAAUGCUCCCACGACUGACUAUGCAUGUGCAAGUUAGGAAAUGGAGGCACAAGUCUUGGACUUAGGUCCUUCGCCAGUCACUAUGUGAUCUCAAGCAAGUCCAAACUAUGUGUCCCUUGACUUGUUUAUCCACCAAACGAAGUC